UUAUGCGAUAAACUGGUGUGAAUUGCAGAAUCCCGUGAACCAUCGAGUCUUUGAACGCAAGUUGCGCCCGAAGCCAUUAGGCUGAGGGCACGUCUGCCUGGGUGUCA
This 107-nucleotide ribosomal RNA is filed under the name Ligusticum jeholense. RNAcentral describes it as "partial 5.8S ribosomal RNA". It matches the Rfam family "5.8S ribosomal RNA", at positions 51 to 154 of the family's 154-position model. From Rfam's summary of the family: 5.8S ribosomal RNA (5.8S rRNA) is a component of the large subunit of the eukaryotic ribosome. The record is from RNAcentral. Lineage: Eukaryota; Viridiplantae; Streptophyta; Magnoliopsida; Apiales; Apiaceae.